RNAcentral lists this unclassified non-coding RNA (300 nucleotides) under uncultured Sporidiobolales. RNAcentral describes it as "sequence contains 5.8S rRNA gene, ITS2". The stretch from base 1 to 71 matches the Rfam family "5.8S ribosomal RNA", at positions 84 to 154 of the family's 154-position model. The record is from RNAcentral. Lineage: Eukaryota; Fungi; Basidiomycota; Microbotryomycetes; Sporidiobolales.
GUGAGUCAUCGAAUCUUUGAACGCACCUUGCGCUCUCUGGUAUUCCGGAGAGCAUGCCUGUUUGAGUGUCAUGAACUCUUCAACCCACCGGUUCCUUGUUGAACCGAGUUGGUGUUUGGUUUUUGAGUGUUUUGCUUUGUUUUCGGACAUAGCUCGCUCGUAAUACAUUAGCAUCUCGAUUUCGAAAUUUCGGAUUGACUCAGCGUAAUAGACUAUUCGCUGAGGACACCUUUACCGGUGGCCGUAAUUAUGAUAACAGUAGACGCUUCCAAUCCUACUAGUCAAUUUUAUGAUUAGACC